This is a small nuclear RNA of Monodelphis domestica (gray short-tailed opossum), 104 nucleotides long. Lineage: Eukaryota; Metazoa; Chordata; Mammalia; Didelphimorphia; Didelphidae. The record is from Ensembl.
GUGCUCACUUCAGCAUCACAUGUACUAAAAAUGGAAUAAUACAGAGAUUAGCAUGGCCCCUAUGCAAGGAUAACAUACAAAUUUAUAAAACAUUCUAUAUUUUA